RNAcentral lists this unclassified non-coding RNA (200 nucleotides) under Hevea brasiliensis (rubber tree). Lineage: Eukaryota; Viridiplantae; Streptophyta; Magnoliopsida; Malpighiales; Euphorbiaceae. The record is from RNAcentral.
GUUCAUACCGACAUGGCGUCGGUGCAUCUCUACAACGCCGGCUCGCAGGCCUUGAAGGACCACUUCAUGCCGGAUGUCAUUGCAGGGAAGAAGAUCGUCGCUGUCGGCGUCACCGAACCUGGCGCGGGCUNNNNNNNNNCGUGAAAGGCAUUCGCACCACCGCGCGCCGCGAGGGCGACGGCUAUGUGCUCAAUGGCACC